UAGGGAAUCUUCGGCAAUGGGGGGAACCCUGACCGAGCAACGCCGCGUGAGUGAAGAAGGUUUUCGGAUCGUAAAGCUCUGUUGUUAAGGAAGAACGAGUGUGAGAAUGGAAAGUUCAUACUGUGACGGUACUUAACCAGAAAGGGACGGCUAACUACGUGCCAGCAGCCGCGGUAAUACGUAGGUCCCGAGCGUUGUCCGGAUUUAUUUGGCGUAAAGCGAGCGCAGGCGGUUAGAUAAGUCUGAAGUUAAAGGCAGUGGCUCAACCAUUGUAGGCUUUGGAAACUGUUUAACUUGAGUGCAGAAGGGGAGAGUGGAAUUCCAUGUGUAGCGGUGAAAUGCGUAGAUAUAUGGAGGAACACCGGUGGCGAAAGCGGCUCUCUUGUCUGUAACUGACGCUGAGGCUCGAAAGCGUGGGGAGCGAACAGG
RNAcentral lists this ribosomal RNA (429 nucleotides) under Bacteroidota bacterium. Its description in RNAcentral is "Bacteroidetes bacterium partial 16S ribosomal RNA". It matches the Rfam family "Bacterial small subunit ribosomal RNA", at positions 355 to 776 of the family's 1533-position model. Lineage: Bacteria; Pseudomonadati; Bacteroidota. The record is from RNAcentral.